UUGUGACUGCGUACCUUUUGUAUAAUGGGUCAGCGACUUAUAUUUUGUAGCGAGGUUAACUGAAUAAGGGAGCCGAAGGGAAACCGAGUCUUAACUGGGCGAUUGAGUUGCAAGGUAUAGACCCGAAACCCGGUGAUCUAGCCAUGGGCAGGUUGAAGAUUGGGUAACACUAAUUGGAGGACCGAACCGACUAAUGUUGAAAAAUUAGCGGAUGACUUGUGGCUGGGGGUGAAAGGCCAAUCAAACCGGGAGAUAGCUGGUUCUCCCCGAAAUCUAUUUAGGUAGAGCCUUGAGCGGACACCUUCGGGGGUAGAGCACUGUUUCGGCUAGGGGUCCAUCCCGGAUUACCAACCCGAUGCAAACUGCGAAUACCGAAGAGUGAUACUCAGGAGACACACGG
Molecule: ribosomal RNA, 400 nt
Filed under: Xanthomonas citri pv. citri
Lineage: Bacteria; Pseudomonadati; Pseudomonadota; Gammaproteobacteria; Lysobacterales; Lysobacteraceae
Description: partial 23S ribosomal RNA
Rfam family: Bacterial large subunit ribosomal RNA
Source: RNAcentral